GUCUUGAAAAGUUGCAAGUUCAGGCCCUCAAAGAAACUACGCAAUGCAAAAAAAUACAUGAGGGAAGAACCGUCGCAAGCUUCCCCUCCCAGGACCAAAGGAUACCAGUUCAAUGGGACAGUAACCCAUGCAGCAUAGAAAAGGAAAUGCAGAAAUGGAUAAAGUAGAAAACAGACACUAGGAAAUGGCAUUUUCCAAAAAUGUAGAAAACUAAAAUGUUGGGGGGGAACAUGUAAAUAUAAAAAAAUACAGG
RNAcentral lists this unclassified non-coding RNA (253 nucleotides) under Hevea brasiliensis (rubber tree). Lineage: Eukaryota; Viridiplantae; Streptophyta; Magnoliopsida; Malpighiales; Euphorbiaceae. The record is from RNAcentral.